UCGGAUGUGGUGUGGUGACACGGCCUCUUUUAGUAGAUGUGAUUCCACUUGUUAGAAACAAUGCCGGGUUCGAAUCCCGGCGUCCGAG
Molecule: non-coding RNA, 88 nt
Organism: Mycena leptocephala
Lineage: Eukaryota; Fungi; Basidiomycota; Agaricomycetes; Agaricales; Mycenaceae
Source: the annotation of a GenBank genome assembly